GGACCCGCACAAGCGGUGGAUGAUGUGGAUUAAUUCGAUGCAACGCGAAAAACCUUACCUACCCUUGACAUGCCAGGAAUCUUGCUGAGAGGCGAGAGUGCCUUAGGGAGCCUGGACACAGGUGCUGCAUGGCUGUCGUCAGCUCGUGUCGUGAGAUGUUGGGUUAAGUCCCGCAACGAGCGCAACCCUUGUCAUCAGUUGCCAACAUUUCGGAUGUGCACUCUGAUGAGACUGCCGGUGACAAGCCGGAGGAAGGUGGGGAUGACGUCAAGUCCUCAUGGCCCUUAUGGGUAGGGCUUCACACGUCAUACAAUGGUCGGUACAGAGGGUUGCGAAGCCGCGAGGUGGAGCUAAUCCCCGUAAAAGCCCGAUCGUAGUCCGGAUCGCAGUCUGCAACUCGACUGCGUGAAGUCGGAAUCGCUAGUAAUCGCGGAUCAGCAUGCCG
This 445-nucleotide ribosomal RNA is filed under the name uncultured Pseudomonadota bacterium. RNAcentral's name for it is "bacterial SSU rRNA". It matches the Rfam family "Bacterial small subunit ribosomal RNA", at positions 917 to 1359 of the family's 1533-position model. The record is from RNAcentral. Lineage: Bacteria; Pseudomonadati; Pseudomonadota.